UACGAGGGGGGCGAGCGUUGUUCGGAAUUAUUGGGCGUAAAGGGUGCGUAGGCGGCCUGACAAGUCUGAUGUGAAAUCCCUGGGCUCAACCCAGGGCCUGCAUCGGAAACUGUCGGGCUUGAGUAUGGGAGAGGUGAGUGGAAUUUCCGGUGUAGCGGUGAAAUGCGUAGAUAUCGGAAGGAACACCUGUGGCGAAGGCGGCUCACUGGACCAUUACUGACGCUGAGGCACGAAAGCUAGGGGAGCAAACAGG
RNAcentral lists this ribosomal RNA (253 nucleotides) under uncultured bacterium. RNAcentral describes it as "partial 16S ribosomal RNA". It matches the Rfam family "Bacterial small subunit ribosomal RNA", at positions 524 to 776 of the family's 1533-position model. The record is from RNAcentral.